AAGUGAUUAGUAUAAUAAAACAUUUGAUUUCGGCUCAAAAAUUUGUGGUUAAAAUCCAUAAUCACUUA
This 68-nucleotide transfer RNA is filed under the name Betta splendens (Siamese fighting fish). It matches the Rfam family "tRNA". Rfam says of the family: Transfer RNA (tRNA) molecules are approximately 80 nucleotides in length. Their secondary structure includes four short double-helical elements and three loops (D, anti-codon, and T loops). Further hydrogen bonds mediate the characteristic L-shaped molecular structure. tRNAs have two regions of fundamental functional importance: the anti-codon, which is responsible for specific mRNA codon recognition, and the 3' end, to which the tRNAs corresponding amino acid is attached (by aminoacyl-tRNA synthetases). tRNAs cope with the degeneracy of the genetic code in two manners: having more than one tRNA (with a specific anti-codon) for a particular amino acid; and 'wobble' base-pairing, i.e. permitting non-standard base-pairing at the 3rd anti-codon position. The record is from Rfam by way of RNAcentral. RNAcentral also lists the same sequence under 1 other name. Lineage: Eukaryota; Metazoa; Chordata; Actinopteri; Anabantiformes; Osphronemidae.